UACGUAGGGUGCGAGCGUUAAUCGGAAUUACUGGGCGUAAAGCGCGCGCAGGCGGUUCCUUAAGUCUGAUGUGAAAGCCCCCGGCUCAACCGGGGAGGGUCAUUGGAAACUGGGGAACUUGAGUACUGAAGAGGAAAGCGGAAUUCCACGUGUAGCGGUGAAAUGCGUAGAGAUGUGGAGGAACACCAGUGGCGAAGGCGGCUUUCUGGUCAGUAACUGACGCUGAGGCGCGAAAGCGUGGGGAGCAAACAGG
RNAcentral lists this ribosomal RNA (253 nucleotides) under uncultured bacterium. RNAcentral describes it as "partial 16S ribosomal RNA". It matches the Rfam family "Bacterial small subunit ribosomal RNA", at positions 524 to 776 of the family's 1533-position model. The record is from RNAcentral.